This 403-nucleotide ribosomal RNA is filed under the name uncultured bacterium. RNAcentral describes it as "bacterial SSU rRNA". It matches the Rfam family "Bacterial small subunit ribosomal RNA", at positions 355 to 774 of the family's 1533-position model. The record is from RNAcentral.
UAGGGAAUAUUGCAAAAUGGGCGAAAGCCCGAUGCAGCAACGCCGCGUGGGCGAUGAAGGCCUUCGGGUCGUAAAGCCCUUUUUGAGGGGAUGAGGAAGGACAGUACCCUCAGAAUAAGCCUCGGCUAACUACGUGCCAGCAGCCGCGGUAAAACGUAGGAGGCGAGCGUUAUCCGGAUUUACUGGGCAUAAAGCGCGUGCAGGCGGAUUGGAGAGUUGGAUGUGAAAGCUCCCGGCUUAACUGGGAGAGGUCGUUCAAUACUUCCAGUCUUGAGUGCAGUAGAGGGAAGUAGAAUUCCGGGUGUAGUGGUGAAAUGCAUAGAUAUCCGGAGAAACACCAGUGGCGAAAGCGGCUUCCUGGACUGUAACUGACGCUCAGACGCGAAAGCUAGGGUAGCAAACG